This 461-nucleotide ribosomal RNA is filed under the name uncultured bacterium. RNAcentral describes it as "bacterial SSU rRNA". It matches the Rfam family "Bacterial small subunit ribosomal RNA", at positions 355 to 830 of the family's 1533-position model. The record is from RNAcentral.
UGGGGAAUCUUGCACAAUGGGCGAAAGCCUGAUGCAGCAACGCCGCGUGCGGGAAGACAGCCCUAGGGUUGUAAACCGCUUUCAGCAGGGAAGAAACUGACGGUACCUGCAGAAGAAGAUGCGGCCAACUACGUGCCAGCAGCCGCGGUGACACGUAGGCAUCAAGCGUUAUCCGGAUUUAUUGGGCGUAAAGAGCUCGUAGGCGGUUCGGUAAGUCGGGUGUGAAAACUCUGGGCUCAACCCAGAGAGGCCACUCGAUACUGCUGUGACUAGAGUGCGGUAGGGGGAGCGGGGGAAUUCCUGGUGUAGCGGUGAAAUGCGCAGAUAUCAGGAGGAACACCAGUGGCGAAGGCGCCGCUCUGGGCCGUAACUGACGCUGAGGAGCGAAAGCAUGGGUAGCAAACAGGAUUAGAUACCCUGGUAGUCCAUGCCGUAAACGUUGGGCACUAGGUGUGGGUCUC